ACACUCAAGCCACAAACUCUCAUAGUUAUAAAAUACAAGACAAUAGAAAUGGGGCCUGAAUCUCAUUACAUGAAAUCAAGGGAUUAAGGGUCCUUGAAGAGUACCAUUUCUACACAUAGCCAAGCCCUGCUCACACUUCAUGCUCAUGAUGACUGAGGACUCUGAAGUCAGACGGCUUGGAUUUCCUGGCAAAUGAGUAGAGCUCAGCCCUGCCAGAUCUGAAUUUGGAGAGCUACCAGAAGAUAGGUGGUGGGGUCAGUUCUGAGGAUCCUUCAAAAAGAAGCUACUAAAGAAAAUACACCAAGGAAAAAAAAGACAUAAAGCCCAGGAAAAAAGGUGAGCCAAAAGCAGAUGUCAAGGAAGUUUCCAAGAUGGUGGUGAAGAUUCAGGAUAGCAUCUGUAUAAAUGGUCGAAGGAGUGAUGAUCAAAACUGGAGCAAGAGAUGGAAAGUUCCAGGGGUCACAAACACAAAAAUCUGGAAACUUAUGGAAUACAAUUGAUACUGCUGCUGCU
This 513-nucleotide long non-coding RNA is filed under the name Bos taurus (domestic cattle). RNAcentral's name for it is "long non-coding RNA NONBTAT015613". The record is from RNAcentral. Lineage: Eukaryota; Metazoa; Chordata; Mammalia; Artiodactyla; Bovidae.